This 517-nucleotide long non-coding RNA is filed under the name Dermacentor andersoni. Its description in RNAcentral is "uncharacterized LOC126538783". The record is from RNAcentral. Lineage: Eukaryota; Metazoa; Arthropoda; Arachnida; Ixodida; Ixodidae.
GUUCAUAGAGCUUGAUCCAUUCGUCAACGUCCUCUCCCUCCAGGCCAGAGAACACACCAGGGUCGCGAUGUUGGGCAACCCUGAUGAUUGGAGCAGUCGGAGAGGCCGAAGCCGUUGCUGAGGCGGGCUCGUCAUCGGGAGGCAUGGUGACAAGCUCGAUGUACCGACCCCUCCAGAGUUCCGUGGGUCGAAUCACCACGUGAGCUAGUGUCACCAAGAUGCGCCCCAAUUGGCCUCCUGAGUGGCGAGCCCCGGGCACCUCUCCACCCGAGCUCUCUUUCGCUGAGCACUUCAUUGCCGCGGCAGAUGCUCACAGGCCUGCACCUAGGUGGUUACAAGGACCUUUGCUCCCGCAAUUCUUUCGUUUUCGCACUUGGUGGACUGCUUCGCAGUUAGCCCUAGCGCAGCGGGCACGCAUAGUCGAUCGGUCUUGAGGUGAGCCUUUUCCCAUAAGUGCCGUGACUGUCACACUGUGCUGUGUCUUAGUUGAAUAAACCUAUGCUUGUUCGCGAUCUGA